UGUCGCCCCGCCACCACCGGGGUCCCUCCCGCCGGCUGAGAGGGGAAGGCAAGAGAGAUACGGAGGCUGCGCCCGGCCCGCGGAGCCCACCGGCCGUCCCCUCCAGGGGCUGAUUUCUUGGACCGCUCAGCACGUGAGAAGUAACCAAGCCCCUUCUCUGUGAGGUCUGAUAUUUUCUAAGAUACGCUUCUUGAAACUGCUUGCUGGCUGCUAAACACUAUUUCUAGAAAAACAGGACUCCCCUCCCCAAAAAAAAAAAAAAAAA
Molecule: long non-coding RNA, 265 nt
Organism: Melopsittacus undulatus (budgerigar)
Lineage: Eukaryota; Metazoa; Chordata; Aves; Psittaciformes; Psittaculidae
Exons: 2
Source: RefSeq, a predicted model, not a curated record